Molecule: long non-coding RNA, 513 nt
Organism: Myotis myotis
Lineage: Eukaryota; Metazoa; Chordata; Mammalia; Chiroptera; Vespertilionidae
Exons: 3
Source: RefSeq, a predicted model, not a curated record
GCUUUUUUGUAUUUUUCUUCAAAAAGUCAAUAAAUUACCAGGUGAAAUGGAAUAAAAACAAUUCUUUUUGAAGAUCUCACUUUAUUACUUAUUUUUCUUAGAUUGAGACAAAUCAGUUUUCCAGAGUUGAAGUUUUACUUGUUUAAUUUUGAAAAACAAAGCAUCAUAGCAUGCUUUUGGGUGUGUGCAUCUAGGAUGGAACAGAAUGGAUAUGCCGUAUUCCUUUCCUGUGGUUUGCUGAUAUAGGACAAAAGGAUGGAAGAGGUCUUAUAGCAUCUUUAUCGAUUGCUUUGUAAGCCAACUUCUUCUGUGCAAAGUGGCAUCAGUUAUGCAGAGACUCAGUUGUGGACGGUAGACCUCACCCUGUGUACAGAGGAACAAGUUCUUAUUUCUAGAGAUAUGUUUUCCUGCCCUCUCCUCUCUUCUCCUUUGGAGACUCCGAUUUACACAUCCAUUUAGCUGCUUGAAGUUGUUCACAGAACCCACUGGUGUUUUAUUGCAACACUGUUGUUU